This 431-nucleotide ribosomal RNA is filed under the name uncultured delta proteobacterium. RNAcentral's name for it is "bacterial SSU rRNA". It matches the Rfam family "Bacterial small subunit ribosomal RNA", at positions 114 to 523 of the family's 1533-position model. The record is from RNAcentral. Lineage: Bacteria; Deltaproteobacteria.
CACGUGGGUAAUCUGCCUGGAAGCCUGGGAUAACUAGCCGAAAGGUUAGCUAAUACCAGAUGAGACCACGGACUCUUCGGAGUCUGAGGGAAAAGGUGGCCUCUGUAUACAAGCUAUCACUUCCAGAUGAGCCCGCGGCCCAUCAGCUAGUUGGCGGGGGUAAUGGCCCACCAAGGCAACGACGGGUAGCUGGUCUGAGAGGACGAUCAGCCACACUGGAACUGAGACACGGUCCAGACUCCUACGGGAGGCAGCAGUGGGGAAUUUUGCGCAAUGGCGAAAGCCUGACGCAGCAACGCCGCGUGUGUGAUGAAGGUCUUCGGAUUGUAAAGCACUUUCGACCGGGACGAAACCCUCAAGCCCAAUACGCUUGAGUCUGACGGUACCGGGAGAAGAAGCACCGGCUAACUCUGUGCCAGCAGCCGCGGUAA